CAUUAAUUCAACGCCAAAGAUUUGAGUUUUGUCCCUCUAUAUAAAUGACUAUACAAGGGCGAAAGCUUACGGCAUCCUUAAGCACACAACAAACAAAGAAGUGAUUCCUUGUCGAUCUCUUGGUCAUGGCACCCAUGAGCAAUGCGACCAGGAAGGCUGUGGUUUUUGUGCUUCUUAUGGUUAUGGCUUCCACCCUAUCAUCAUCGUCUUGCUACGCCCGCACAAUUGAAGAUGGAGCCAAUCCUCCAUUGUACUGCUUCUAUGUGGAAAAGUGCAAAGAACGUUGCCAGAUCGCAUGCAGCCUCAGCUUUAAGCCCUCAACUGGGCCGUAUUGCAAGCACAAUCAGUGUUGUUGUGCCUAGAAUAAUGCUUCUUUUUUUUACUAAAUAAAGGAAUAAUUUUACUACAUAUGCUUGCAAAUGUAGUAUUGGUUACUGACUAAUUAUACAAUUGAGCCUCUUGUGUUGUCUGGUCCA
Triticum aestivum (bread wheat) is the source of this 476-nucleotide RNA transcript. RefSeq lists it as uncharacterized. The transcript has 2 exons. The record is from RefSeq and is a predicted model, not a curated record. NCBI's taxonomy places the organism in Eukaryota, Viridiplantae, Streptophyta, Magnoliopsida, Poales, Poaceae.